Molecule: ribosomal RNA, 379 nt
Filed under: uncultured eukaryote
Lineage: Eukaryota
Description: partial 18S ribosomal RNA
Rfam family: Eukaryotic small subunit ribosomal RNA
Source: RNAcentral
CAAUAGCGUAUAUUUAAGUUGUUGCAGUUAAAAAGCUCGUAGUUGGAUUUCGGAUGGGACUUGCCGGUCCGUCGUUUCGAUGUGCACUGGCCAGUCCUAUCUUGUUGUCGGGGACUAGCUCCUGGGCUUCACUGUCCGGGACUAGGAGCUGACGAGGUUACUUUGAGUAAAUUAGAGUGUUCAAAGCAAGCCUACGCUCUGAAUACAUUAGCAUGGAAUAACACGAUAGGACUCUGGCUUAUCUUGUUGGUCUGUGAGACCAGAGUAAUGAUUAAGAGGGACAGUCGGGGGCAUUCGUAUUUCAUUGUCAGAGGUGAAAUUCUUGGAUUUAUGAAAGACGAACUUCUGCGAAAGCAUUUGUCAAGGAUUUUUUCAUUAA